UUGGUCCUGACCCGGCCUGCACAGGGCGCCCUCAAGCCAGGCCUCUCAUGCCUUCUUUGCUUCCAGCAAAGAGCUGCGGCUCUCCGGCCAGCAUCACCUCCCUGUCCUCCUUGGCCGCUGCCCCAGCAGAGCCUCCGCCUCAGCCAAGUUCCACGCCCUUCCUGGGGAGCUGGUCCUUCAGACCUCAUACGAGCGAGCCCGUGGCACCCAAGUCCUGCACCACACGGUGCUGUGGGACGGGCAGGGUGUGGCCCUCAAGGGGAGCCUCAAUGGGAGCCUCUCCAUGCCCUUCCUCAAGCCCGCUGGGACCCUUGGUCUGCAGGGUGAGUCUCCCAGGUGCCACGCAUUCACCCAUUCACUCAGCAUCAUCACUGAGUGCUUGCUUAUCCCAGUAACUGUUCUAGGCACUGGGGGUCCAUUGGGAAGCAGCAUGGCCCAGGUCCCAGAUCUCAGGGAGGAGGGCUGUGAGCAGGGACACACACCGAACAAGAUAACAUCAGAGUGUCUCCAGGAGUGAGAACGCCUAUGAAAACAAGCAGGGUUUGGUUUUGGGGGUGGAGGGGGUGGAGCUCCUCCAGGUGGGUGGUCUGGGAAGGCUUGUCUCAGGAGGUGACUUUCAAGCUGAGCCCCGAGUGACAAGGUGAAGCUCUGGGGAGAUCAUCGUGGGCGGAAGAGGAGGAACAGCAGGUGCAAAGGCCCUGGGGUGGGAAUAGGUUUUGUGGCUGGAAGAAUAGCAGCAAGGUCAGUGUGGCUGGAGUGGACUGACGGGAGGAGCAGAGGGGAGAUGAGGUGGGAGAGGUUAGGGGAGCCAGGACACACAGGGUCUCAGCCUCUGACCAGGAGUUGGGGUUUAUCCUGGGUAUGAUAAGGCAGGAAGGCAAGGUUAGCGUGUGGAAGAUGUGGCAACCCCCUGCAUCCCCGAGGGCUUGCAAGCUGAGGCUGACAGACUGCAGGUUGGCAAGGGAGGUGAGUGUGGCCCCAGCAGGGGCACCCGUGACCCCCUGAGGCUCUCCAGGAAACAGCCCCAUCCCCAAGGGCCAUGCAGACACACGGGCUGUCAAUUCGUGUUUGAGGAGUCUGCGUACACAGAGCAGAAACUGACCUGCUGGCCUGCCAAGCGGGAGACGCAGUGCAGACCCUGGCCCGGGGCGGGCACGGCUUGCUGGGUGGCCCAGUGGGGUUCCCCGGGUCAGGGUUGCCACAUGUGUGCCCUCAAAGCAGAGAGAAAAAGAGGAUCCUCAGCACGCCAGGGCAGUGUUUGUCGUGCGUGCCCGUGUGUGCGUGUGUGAGUGUGUGCAUGCUCGGGGGUCCGUGGAUGGGCUGAGCAGCCUGUGGACCCUGCUGUGUGGUUACUGGGCGCAGAAACCAGCGGGUCAGGGGCAGAGGGAGUGAGGGGUUGCGGCUCUGCGUGUGGUCAGUGCUCCUGGACUGGUGACCAGAUGAUGCCUUGAGAACCAGCUUACAGCCACUGUCUCUGGACACAGCUCCCCAGGAUCCAUGUAGGAACAGUCCCCUUCCAGAGGGUUCAAAGGUGGUCUUUGUCUGCAGCAGAGUCUCAGGUGGACUCCUGCUCUGGGGGGUCUAGGAAGGCAGGAGCAGUUGGUGGCCUUAUGGGAUGGAGUUAGAUGGUGCCAGAGGUCAGGGCAGCUGGACUCAGGCUUCAGAGAUGAAGGAAGAAAAUCGAGGGCAAGGAGGCCGUGAGGCCUCAGCCAUGGGCUGUGUCGUACCCCAGGAUGGAACGAGAACAUGGGGCAGCUGAGUGUGACCAGGCGGGUGUGGCCGGGGUGUGGCCGGGGUGUGGCCGGGUGUGGCCAUUCAAAAUGGCCGGGGUAAUCGUGUGUGAGGGGCCUGAGAGUGAUAUUGGAAGGCAUAUCCGUCAGCUACUGCUGUGUAACGAAUGACCCCAAACUCAGUGACUUACAGAAGUAAGAAUUCAUCACUGCUAACAAGCCUGUGGGCAGCUCUCUGGUCUUGCUCAUGCAUCAGGGUCAGGCGCUAACUUGGAUAGGUGGUGCUGCUGAUUUUGGCUGAACUUUCUUACUUGUUCACGGGCUGGUUGGCUGUCGCCUGGUCUGGGACAGUCUCUGCUGAAACAUCCAGGCUCUCCUCUGUGUGGUGUCAGCGUCCGGCAGGCCAGCCUGGGUUUAAUCUCACCAUGGCUGGGCAGGGGUCCCAGAGAGCCAGAUGGAGCUGAGGCCUUAAGGCUGAAGCUGGGGAUUUGCAGUGUCAACUUCACCAAACUCUACAAGCCAGUCACGAGGCCAGCCCAGGUUCCAGGGCCAGGGCAACAAAUUCCACCUCCUGAUGGAGGAGAUACAAGGCUUCUUGAAGUCCUGGAAUGGGGCUCUCAUGGGGAUGCUGAUGGACUGUUGAGUGGCAUGGGGACCAAGUGAGGGGACAGCUUCUGAAUUUUGUGCAGAUUACGUGCGUGUGUGGCCCCAAAGUGGCCCCUGGCACCCUCUUGGCCUCAAGCUGAUGCCCCCCUCCCUGUACGCCCCUCCCUGCCCAGUGGAGCUCACCCACCCGCUGCCCCUGCCCCUUCCAUGGCACUGCAGCUUCCGCCUGACCUCCGAGCAUUCAGCACGCCGUCACCAGGAUGACCUGGUUGUGGCCUGGGACGGCAAGGACCAGGUAGGUGUUGGGCUGGAACAGGACCUGGGAAGCCCACCUUGUGGCCUGAGUGGGACAUUCGGGGCCCUGCCCUGCCCAGGAGCAUUAUGGGUCCAAAUGGGCUGAGCCCCGGUCCCCAAAGGACCACGGGAAGAGCACUGGCGGGGAGGAGGGAGCCUGGGUCCCAGCACCACCUGGAUGAUAACAGGAAGACCAGUGGCUGAUGCCGACGGCCUCUUGUGUGCCAGGCAGGCCAGCCCCCUUUCAUAGAUGAAACUGAAGCUCAGAGGGGAAUGGGGCUACUGAAAGGCAGGGCUGGGAUUCAGAUCCAUGAAAUGCUUCUAACCCCCAGUCCCCUCUCUGUCGUAUGCUUGUCCCUAUCUCCUGCUCUCCAAUCCUCAAGUUACUCCUCUGAAAAAUGGGCUGAAGCUCCCAGAGGGCCUCCCCCAGUGGUGGGCCAGCAGUCCUCACUCCCUUGACCCUGAUGAAGGAGGUGACCUGUGCUGGGUGGUGGAGAGGCCCUCUCUGGGGGAGGCCUCCCGCUCAGCCUGUCCCCUCCCCAGGUGGCGCUGUCCUCCUCUCUGCGGCUGGGGAAGGGCAAGCUGGCCGCCCGCCUGGCCCUGGCUCACCCUUUCAGCCUCUCCUGGCGGCAGGCCGAGGCCAGUGGCCUUGCUGAGAGCAGGGGCGGCAGGCAGAGCUGGCAGGUGAGCGGGGAGCAGCCACGGGGCCCUGGGUAGACGGCUCUUGGGGGUGGGUGAGCCGCGUGGCUGAGGCCAUGGGUGGGACAUCUGGGACCAUGUGCGGGGGAGGAGGAUCUUGUUUGUCCAUCAGAGACGAGGACGUCUCUGGAAUCACAGUGUCCUGAAGCUUGGAACCCCGGGGGGGCCUUGAUGCAUUCAUUCCUUCACUGGGACUGUAUUAAGCACCUAAUGUGUUCCAGGUCGUGUUGAGAUGCGGGUGUAGUCCCUGCGUUGAUAAAGCUCAUUUUAGGGGGAGGAGCAGUUCUCGAGCAUGUCUGGUUCAUCACUGAUGCGCUGGUUUGUUUAAUUGGUCACUGCAGGGGUUCACAUAGGGCAGCUUGGACUCUGCAUCUGACUGGGAGGCUCUGGGCAGUCUUCAGCACCUCUUUAAGCCUGGGGGUUUUUUUUCUGUGAAAUGGGAGACAGUAGGCCAGUGUGUGCCAGGCAAAAAGACCAGAACUCAAGAGAAUGAAUGAAUAAAAAAUUAAGAGUUGUGAUAAGCCCUAUAAAG
RNAcentral lists this long non-coding RNA (3861 nucleotides) under Bos indicus x Bos taurus (hybrid cattle). RNAcentral describes it as "lncRNA (ENSBIXG00005012535.1)". The record is from RNAcentral. Lineage: Eukaryota; Metazoa; Chordata; Mammalia; Artiodactyla; Bovidae.